Molecule: ribosomal RNA, 251 nt
Filed under: uncultured bacterium
Lineage: Bacteria
Description: partial 16S ribosomal RNA
Rfam family: Bacterial small subunit ribosomal RNA
Source: RNAcentral
ACGGAGGGUGCAAGCGUUGUUCGGAAUUACUGGGCGUAAAGGGCGCGCAGGCGGUUUUACAAGUCAGAUGUGAAAGUCCACGGCUUAACCGUGGAAGUGCAUUUGAAACUGUGAGACUUGAGUACCAGAGGGGAAAGUGGAAUUCCCGGUGUAGAGGUGAAAUUCGUAGAUAUCGGGAGGAAUACCGGUGGCGAAGGCGACUUUCUGGCUGAGUACUGACGCUGAGGCGCGAAAGCGUGGGGAGCAAACAG